Molecule: long non-coding RNA, 840 nt
Organism: Harpia harpyja (harpy eagle)
Lineage: Eukaryota; Metazoa; Chordata; Aves; Accipitriformes; Accipitridae
Exons: 2
Source: RefSeq, a predicted model, not a curated record
CCCUGCCCCAGGGCCCGUCCCGCCUCCAGCGCCCGGCUGAGGAGAGCCGCGGACCCCCCCGGCCGGCUCCGGCCUGUUCUGACACAGCCCCGGCCUUGCCCAGCGCGGGUAGGAGCUUCCCGCUGAGGGGACGGGCGUGAGGGAGGCCCGGAGGCCCGUUCCACCGAGGCCGUCACGGGAACGAAUGCAGAGGUUUUGGGGAGUUUGGUGCUAGAAUGCAGAGCACCUACCUCACCCCCAACCUGAAACAGAAGCAUCCAGGAAUGUGGAUCAGUGCUGCCUCCUCAGAUCAGCCGCACCAUCCCAAACAGACGCUUCUUCAGACCUGUGCAUCAGCAGGAGGGAGUUGCCAAUUUUGAUCAUCUGUACAAAAUACAUCAGCUCUUAUGUCUGGAUCAAAAUCAACACUCUUAAGUUUCCAAGCCACUUAUGCCACAUUCCUGAGAAAGGGGAAAGCACAUCCCACUCCCUUUGGGCACUACACACCAGCUCCUUUAUGGUAGCCCAAUGUCAGAUGACCACGUACUGAGUUUGUAAAAACAUCCUCCUGUCUUACACAACUCUGUGUUCCCCCACGUCGUAGGAAGCUAGCAAGCCCCAUGCACCUACCAGCUGUAGUAGCUGUGCCGCACAGAGAUGGACCUUCCACCCUUGUGCACGACAGGAUACACCCUUCUGAUUGGCGAUCUCCUGUAGCAUAGCCUUCUUCUCUUCUGUCACCAGGAAAUACAAAGAUAUGUUAUUCAAAUUUCAGGAGUUCCCCAGGCCUCUUCUCAAACAAAAACAUUAAGCCAAAUCCUGCUCUCCAUACAUCCUAAUAAAUGACAAUGAGCAAUGUUU